UCCUGGUUAACCCAGGCAGUCUCACUAGAGUUCCCAGCUUUACCUGAUGGCAACUAGUGACAAGGGUUGCGCUCGUUGCGGGACUUAACCCAACACCUCACGGCACGAGCUGACGACAGCCAUGCAGCACCUGUGUAAUGGUCCUUUCGGAAGGAUACGUUUCCGUAUCUGUCCACUACAUGUCAAGUCUAGGUAAGGUUCUUCGCGUAGCAUCGAAUUAAACCACAUACUCCACUGCUUGUGCGAGCCCCCGUCAAUUCUUUUGGGUUCCAACCUUGCGGCCGUACUCCCCAGGCGGUGUACUUAUCGCGUUAGCUACGAUACAAACCGGGUUGAGCCAGUUUACAUCAAGUACACAUCGUUUACGGUGUGGACUAC
Molecule: unclassified non-coding RNA, 378 nt
Filed under: uncultured bacterium
Lineage: Bacteria
Description: contains 16S-23S intergenic spacer region
Source: RNAcentral